Micropterus dolomieu (smallmouth bass) is the source of this 2270-nucleotide long non-coding RNA. RefSeq lists it as uncharacterized. The transcript is spliced from 3 exons. The record is from RefSeq and is a predicted model, not a curated record. Lineage: Eukaryota; Metazoa; Chordata; Actinopteri; Centrarchiformes; Centrarchidae.
GCUGCACUUGGCCAGCGAGUCCUCAGAAUGGUGCCUGGCUUAUCGUUUUGGCCUUGGGGCCCCACUCGUCAUUAAUGUGGCCGGGGUGCAGUGGCAAAGUUUGGCCACAAGGUGUCAUCACAGCUCAUCCCUUGGGGCACGAAGGGGGAAAUGCUGGAACUCCUCUGGCACCUCUUCCCCUUUCUGGGACCUCUUGAAGAAACCGAGUGAGUCUAACAGGCUGCUGAUCUCGUCCGCCUUCAUUUUCUUCACGGGAACAGUCUGACGUGUCGUGCAGGGAACAAAGAGAAGUACAGACGCACAUGCAUUUGGACACAUGAAUAUCAGACGUGGAUUCUUCUCCUCCGAUGAAUCAUAUUCCAAGUUGUGGCUACACAGGAAGGAACGGAUCAAGGCAAACAACAGGGACUGAAAUGGCUACCAGAUGUGGUUCCAAUCUGUUCUCGUUGUCAUGGAAACACAGGGACUGGAAUAGGUUUUCUGAGUCCAGGGCUUUUGGCUGACUCAUAGGGCCUGAGUUUUAAAGCCUAGCUGUUUCUAUAGACUUGGCACACUGACGAUGCCCCAGCUCCAAGUCAUGUUUAGAUUGGCAGCCGACAUGUCAUUGAACCCCCUUCCCACACGCCAAACCCUGACUUUUUGACCAAGCUUUGCGUUUUCCUGUAUAGUCACUCCUUUGUGUUAUUUUAUGUUGCCUGAGCCAAAGUGAAUUUAUGUUUCACACGUCAAUCUUCAAUACCAAAUCAAUAAAACCAGCAAAAUAUUACUAAUAGCUAACUGCAGAGGGGACAUGAAAAGGCCAAGUUCCAUAAUCAUACACAGGCUUUUCCAAUUUAUAUCCAUUCAAAAGCAGCAAGCGCAGAAAUCCAUCACAAGUCGUACACAUGCUCAAUCAACACAGUUUAUCCUGAAAUGCUGCGCAGUGGUGACACGCAAUUCCAAAGUGUGACUUUCCCACAACACGUCAAGGAUGAAAAGCCAGAGAACAUGUGUUGGUAUGCUCAGCUGAGAAUCUUCUCCAUCUGCGAGUUGAGGAUGGGCAGAUGGAGGCAGUUGUGUCAACAUUCCUCUCCAUCCUGGCAAUGAAUCAGACUUCAAGCCAUUGUCGCAUGAAAAAUGGGCCGAUUCAGUGGGGGAAAGUGUUUAGAUUCCAGUAUGGGGUUGGAGAACAAGACUAAGUCUAUAGCCAGCUUAGUGAGACUGUACACAGUGGUUAUCUGAGCUAAAUGCUCAGAUCAGCAUGCUAACAUGCUCACAAUGACAAUAUUAACAGAUGUUUAGCAGGCAUAAUGUUUACUUUGUUCACCAUCUUAGUUUCUUAGCAUGCUAACAUUUUAAUUAGCACUAAACAAUGAAAUACAGAUGAGGUAGAUGGGCAAAAAAAAAUGAGUCUCAAAAGUCAAGCUCAUGAUGAUACUAGGAGAAUCCUAAAGUCAUCAAGGUUCAUCCUUUGGAGGCCAUAGAAGGCAAUCCAUCCAACAGUUUUUGUGAUUUUACAUUACAGAAUAAAGUAGUAGACUAGCUGACAUUGCUAUCCCUAGAGCUGUGCUUAGAGGAAAGGCUGUCCAUGCUGAGAGAAUCUUUCAUUGUUUUAAAAAAAACAAUCUUUUUAGAGUGGUUUAUAAAUCACUAGAUCAUAGAUCAACAUCAAUUUGUUGUCAACAUCAAAUCAAGGCAAAAUAAGAUAGUCCCUAAUUCCCUGAAGUUUUACAGCCCUGAAAAACACUUUUGAAUUACACACAUGUACAUUGUAGGUAGAACACCAGAAGUGUAGAAUCCAAAACAAAGCUGCUUCGCCUUCUGGUUCCAAUUACCCAUCACAUGACCUAUCCAUCCAUCCUUAUAUCCAUCCAUUCAUCCUCCUUCAUUGCCUUGUGGCCCAGCCCUGCUAUAUCCCUCUUCUCCUCGCCAAAAGAGGACACAUAAGCAGCGCGUGAUUAAGUCCUUAGCACAGAGUUUCCACUGUUUUUCCCCCAUGAAAGGAGCUCUUGUCCCACCGUCCUGAAGGAGCCAAAUGAACAGUUCCCUCAAACUCCCUGACUCUUUGAAGAGCCGCUGUGACCGAACGACUCUGGAGGACUCGGUACUUGGCAGCCCAGUAGCCUAGAGUCACAGGAAAGGGUCAAAUAUCAAUGAGCAUUUGAAUAAAUCUUUUUGAAGAAUACAAUAAACGAUUUAUGUUGUGUAGCACCCAAUAUCUCCCUUUUGACCUUUGUUGUUCUAGUUGAUUGUACACUGGAAAAAGACAAAAGAUGCCAAGGAGAGGUCAA